RNAcentral lists this ribosomal RNA (479 nucleotides) under uncultured bacterium. RNAcentral's name for it is "bacterial SSU rRNA". It matches the Rfam family "Bacterial small subunit ribosomal RNA", at positions 37 to 507 of the family's 1533-position model. The record is from RNAcentral.
UGGCGGCAGGCCUAACACAUGCAAGUCGAGCGGUAACAUUUCUAGCUUGCUAGAAGAUGACGAGCGGCGGACGGGUGAGUAACGCGUAGAAAUCUACCUAGUAGUGGGGGAUAGCCCAGAGAAAUUUGGAUUAAUACCGCAUACGCCCUACGGGGGAAAGCGGGGGAUCUUCGGACCUCGUGCUAUUAGAUGAGUCUGCGUCGGAUUAGCUUGUUGGUGAGGUAACGGCUCACCAAGGCAGCGACGGGUAGCUGGUCUGAGAGGACGAUCAGCCACACUGGGACUGAGACACGGCCCAGACUCCUACGGGAGGCAGCAGCAGGGAAUAUUGCACAAUGGGCGCAAGCCUGAUGCAGCCAUGCCGCGUGUGUGAAGAAGGCCUUAGGGUUGUAAAGCACUUUCAGCAGUGAGGAAAGGGGUGUCGUUAAUAGCGCCAUCCUGUGACGUUAACUGCAGAAGAAGGACCGGCUAACUCCGUG